GCAAGUGAGAAACAUUUGGCUGUCACAUCUGUCACCCAUCACCUGCCAGGCAGAUUCAGCUGAUGUGAUUAAGUGGUGUCUCCUUUUUUUUUUCCCUCACCACUCCAGGUGCCUCAGUUCCCAAGCUGAGCGAUCAGUUGAUAAGGACUUUUGCUCUUGGAGGAGAAUGGUCACAGAUGAGGGCAAAUGGCCAGCUGAACUCUCUUGUUACAAUCCCCCCGCCUCCCAGCAUGCUCUUCUGAGAUGUUC
RNAcentral lists this small RNA (249 nucleotides) under Mus spretus (western wild mouse). RNAcentral describes it as "predicted gene, 54510 (ENSMSPG00010037092.1)". Lineage: Eukaryota; Metazoa; Chordata; Mammalia; Rodentia; Muridae. The record is from RNAcentral.